UUUCGAUUAGCUUUCUCUCAACAAUUCGAUGUCCAGACAAAACCAGAGUUCUUAGAGAGUUGAUUCAGCUUCUUCUUGCUAACGCUCUAUACCAGUUACAGAUUCCUCAUCUUAAAUCAUCACCCACUAUCUAUCUUGAAUGUGAUCUUCUUAAUGCAAGGCGGUGGAACUUCCAUUAUAAAAGACGAUCUUCCUUUCCGAUCUGGAGACCUGACGUUGCUCCUCCACCGCCAAGUCCCGUUGCUCCGCCAGGAACGUCGGACGCGGCGGCGAACUCAUGGGAGUCGAUAUGAUGCUACUUAAUUCACAGUCAACGCAAAUACAAGCAUCUAUCAACGUUUACCGGUUGGAACACCUUCGUUUAUUAGCUAAGCUUAUUUUAUGUUACACGAAUCGUCUAUGUUGAUGCCCCUGUAACCCUGUUGCAAUUAGUUCUAUAGACCAAGUUGAGAUUGCUGGACGGUUGAACGAAACCGACAAAGAGCUUCCAGUGGUUCCGCAACCUUGAAACAAUCUGAUUUGGCCAACACAAAAACUUACUUGCCAGGGUUUAAACUAACGUAAUCGAUGGAUGCCUAGAGCCAUCCUUGAGCUUGCUAUAUCUCAGCCAGCUCUCGACAUGCCUCAACUGUUAUGGAAGGCAUACAUAGAUUUUGAAAUAGCUGAAUGAGAAUUUGAGAGGACACAGGUUUUAUAUGAGCGACUCUUGGACCGCACAAAUCAUUACAAGGUGUGGGUUAGUUUUACAAACUUUGAAGCUUCUGCUGCAGAACAAGAAAAAGACAAUGAAGAGGAAGAACAAGAAGAAACAGAUGCUAUUGAAUGCAAGAAAGAGUGCAUCAGACGUGCCAGCGAGAUUUUUGAGAGAACCCACAGCCACUACAAAGAUUCUGCACCAGAGUUGAAAGAAGAAAGAACUACAUGGAGGAUUGGCUUAACAUGGAGACAAACUUUGGUAAUCUCGGGGAUGUGAGUGUGGUACAACCUAAGCUCCCGAAGAAGCUCAAGAAGAGAAAACUAUACGUGUUACCGUUCUCGAUAUGACCAUAGCAUUCACUCAAAACAACAGCAGCCUCUGAAUGUGUACUCAGUCCUCACUACAGCCCUCCUUUCUACAGACUUCCGGACUAUAGCCUGAGCGUCUUAGAGAGCAUGCCAAAGAAGGAACAAAUGCAAUUUCUUAUGAACCUGAUGUGGAGAAGACCCUAAAGAGAAACACCUCUUCGAACCCCUUUCGAUAUACCAAAAACCGCACAGAAAUCACUCACUCACCCAUCUGCUUCAUGGUGAUUCUCGCAAAGAUGAAAAAUGAUUAGCACAAGACGUUUGUUGGUUGUCUCCUUCACUAUUUGGUAAAGCGAGAGGAAACUGUGCGACGAAUAUACUAUGGUUAAAUUAUAUGAUGGGGCUGAUUAUCUGAAUUGGUUGAGCGGGAGAUCUUUUUAUUUGUCAACUACCAGGAGAUUUACUUAUAUAAUUUGCACUUUGAUGCUUGAUUUA
Long non-coding RNA from Raphanus sativus (radish), 1500 nucleotides. RefSeq lists it as uncharacterized. Lineage: Eukaryota; Viridiplantae; Streptophyta; Magnoliopsida; Brassicales; Brassicaceae. The record is from RefSeq and is a predicted model, not a curated record. The transcript has 7 exons.